RNAcentral lists this ribosomal RNA (631 nucleotides) under Klebsiella oxytoca. RNAcentral's name for it is "partial 23S ribosomal RNA". It matches the Rfam family "Bacterial large subunit ribosomal RNA", at positions 2189 to 2819 of the family's 2925-position model. Lineage: Bacteria; Pseudomonadati; Pseudomonadota; Gammaproteobacteria; Enterobacterales; Enterobacteriaceae. The record is from RNAcentral.
UCCUUGAAAUACCACCCUUUAAUGGCUGGUGUUCUAACGUGGGCCCGUGAUCCGGGUUGCGGACAGUGUCUGGUGGGUAGUUUGACUGGGGCGGUCUCCUCCUAAAGAGUAACGGAGGAGCACGAAGGUCAGCUAAUCCUGGUCGGACAUCAGGAGGUUAGUGCAAUGGCAUAAGCUGGCUUGACUGCGAGCGUGACGGCGCGAGCAGGUGCGAAAGCAGGUCAUAGUGAUCCGGUGGUUCUGAAUGGAAGGGCCAUCGCUCAACGGAUAAAAGGUACUCCGGGGAUAACAGGCUGAUACCGCCCAAGAGUUCAUAUCGACGGCGGUGUUUGGCACCUCGAUGUCGGCUCAUCACAUCCUGGGGCUGAAGUAGGUCCCAAGGGUAUGGCUGUUCGCCAUUUAAAGUGGUACGCGAGCUGGGUUUAGAACGUCGUGAGACAGUUCGGUCCCUAUCUGCCGUGGGCGCUGGAGAAUUGAGGGGGGCUGCUCCUAGUACGAGAGGACCGGAGUGGACGCAUCACUGGUGUUCGGGUUGUCAUGCCAAUGGCAUUGCCCGGUAGCUAAAUGCGGAAGAGAUAAGUGCUGAAAGCAUCUAAGCACGAAACUUGCCCCGAGAUGAGUUCUCCCUGAC